Actinia tenebrosa (Australian red waratah sea anemone) is the source of this 1224-nucleotide long non-coding RNA. RefSeq lists it as uncharacterized. NCBI's taxonomy places the organism in Eukaryota, Metazoa, Cnidaria, Anthozoa, Actiniaria, Actiniidae. The record is from RefSeq and is a predicted model, not a curated record.
CAACAAUUGCAUUGGGCUUCCUGUUUCAUACUCUAUCCCAUAAGUCAUUGCGGUGUCUGGGAAGCGUUCUUCUUCCACGUGCAAGGUUCCAAGAUGGUGGUUUGAAAAUGUAGAGGCAGAACUGAAGGAGAUGGAACGCCUUUGCAAGGCUCAAAAACCUUAGAGAAACUGGGAUACUUUCUUUCUUCAUCUUCAUAAUGAUUAAUAGGUGAGAUGAAUCUGCCUUCUAACAAAAUCAUUGGUUGGUUUCCACUCUAACAAGGUUUUCUACAUGGAUAUCGAAGUGGAUAAUCAGCUGGCAGAGUAGACAGCGAAAUAUCGUGUAGAACAGGCAAAGGUGAAGUAUAUGCUUUAGAAUAAGGUAGCUAUUACAUAUAGAUCAUUUUCACAAUUUUAAUCCAUCCUAGGAUUUCACUUGUUUGACAAGGGCUUCCUAAAUAUUGAUUGGCACCCACAACACAAUGCUUGGGACCCAAAUGUGUCCCAGAACUCACUUCACUUGUGUUGACAAGGGAUUCCUAAAUAUUUAUUGGCACCCACAACACAAUGCUUGGGAUCAAAAUGUGUCCCAGAACUCACUUCACUGUGUUGGCAAGGGCUCCCAAAAUAUUGAUUGCCACCCACAACACAAAUCUUGAAAUCCCAAGUUGCAUAGUUACGUAGGUACAAGUGCCCAGAUGGGAGUUUUCAUUCAGGGUGGGUUUUGGUUUUGUCCAGUGCAUACACUUUUAUCAAAGAUCCCUUAGAUUUUAGAGCAUCUUAUAUCAAAGUUAAUUCAAACUUUAUGAUGUAGUACUUUAUCUUUACAACAUAGGUACUAUACUACUAUUUGAUAUUUGUACUUAAGUUUGAUAUUGCAUAAUGGUUUAUGUAGUAACCUCUCUAUAUGGAUAUAAUCAAAGGUGCUUUACAUUAAGUUGCGAAUUAAUUUCAGAAUACUGUUUAUGCUAUUUACAAACAUGAGAGGUGGUUAGUAUGAAGCGUAGGAACUAAUGGUGGUCACCACCAGGGUUUCUUUACUUCGUAAUGUUUAUCUUGGGUUUUUAGAUUGUAGCUGUGUAGACAUUUUGCCGUAGAGACUAACAGAUGCAUAUAAACCUUACUAAUAGAUUGAUUAGAGUAAUUGAGAGAUUGUGUUCAGAACAGACACCAUCUAACCACUGAUCUCCUGGUAACUCUGUUGAUAAAUAGAUUAAUAAAAGAUACUGCUGUAUUCUCAAAAUA